GUUGGAAGAUGCAGCCGCAGAGAGUAUGAAAUGAGCAGAUAGAUCUAAGUUAUUGGUUGAUCCAAAUACUAAAACAAAUCAUCAAACAUAUUCUCUAUUUUCUAUCGAAGAUAUGGAGGUGUUAGGAAGAAAAAUUACCAGGAAAUCGAAAUUGUUGUUAAAGAACCAGGUAAUAAAGAGGAGAAAGAAGAAAAGGAAGAGAAAUAAAUGGGUUUUUUACUGGUCUUAGUAUGAACGGACUCGGAAAAUACAACAAUUUCAUGGGAAAAUCUGAUUGUGAAUGCCAGCGGAUUGCAAGUAUAGCCUACAAGCAAUUGGCUUUUUGUUUCUUCAAAUGUUCACCGAAUGCAACUUCCUGGCCAUUUCCAAAUACGUCUUUGAGAUGCUUACGAGAAAAGUGCAAUGGUUUAAGAGGAAACAUUUCUUCUUUUAUGCAUUGUAGUGUUGCUAAAACAAUAGCAGCGCUUUUGUUUUACAUACCAUCGGGAUGGGCAAACUUGGGAGGAUAAGGAAUGGUUGUGAUCCAAAAACAACAGGGUUUGUUCGUACUAGAUGAAUGUUACGGAAAAUCUACCCUGUGUAUUGCAUUUGGAAUAUUUAGGAACAAGAAAUUUAAAUGGAAAAGAUGUAAACACAUAAAUCACGAAGGCAUCGUCGUGUUCACAACCAAAGUUCGUAAUCUAGACACAGACUCAUACUGAUGAUACAUUUGUGCUGAUUCCUUGGCUCAAAAUCCUCGGGUUUAUCACAGCCUCAUCUAAUAACACCGUGCGAGGCGUUUGCGCACGGGACCUGAGUAAAAAUAAAGAAAACAAAGCAUAGAAGUAAAGAUUCAUGGGGUUUUAGGCGAAUGUAAAGUGCUGAAAUAUAAAUGAGACUGGGGUUUACGUGGUUCAGCACAAAGGCCUACGUCCACGGGGUUUGUUGUUUCACUAUAUACUUGAGGGUUACAGGGAUAGUCGAAUGAGUUUGGAGUUUACAUAUGUCUAUCUAUUGUAAAAGACUUACACUUACAAUUAUUCUCUCUCCUUCUCUCCCUGAUUUUUCCGAUCCCCCUCAC
Papaver somniferum (opium poppy) is the source of this 1060-nucleotide long non-coding RNA. RefSeq lists it as uncharacterized. The transcript has 3 exons. Lineage: Eukaryota; Viridiplantae; Streptophyta; Magnoliopsida; Ranunculales; Papaveraceae. The record is from RefSeq and is a predicted model, not a curated record.